This is a non-coding RNA of Bemisia tabaci, 375 nucleotides long. The record is from RefSeq and is a predicted model, not a curated record. Lineage: Eukaryota; Metazoa; Arthropoda; Insecta; Hemiptera; Aleyrodidae.
UAUUGUAGGCAUGCAUAGGGUCAUAUAUGGAAAGAGGCAUUGCAUGGCGCCGAAUCUAUAGGGGUAGGGUGGAACGCAACAGCUCUGAAACGUUUUAUUUGAUCACUAAUACAUUUUCUCUCAAUGUACUCUAAUAGGAUGCUUCGUUGGUGAUAUGUGGUGAUGCGUGAUGGUGCGUGAAUGAGAAGUCCUGACGGAUACCCUCGAUAAAUGAAGGAACCAAGAAUUCUCCUCACGUCGGUGGGCUCUGAGCAAAGUGGACUGUAUAAGGAAUGGCGGUGCUAUGACCGGAGACUCACCUCGACACCUCAUCUCUCCCCAAUACGAACAUCCGAGCCGAAACGUGGUGGCGCUCAGCCCUUCAUCUCCCCAAAA